GGGAAUCCGGUGCGAAUCCGGAACUGUCCCGCAACGGUGUACUUGUGCGUGUUCGCGUAUUUCGCUGCCACGUGCUCGCUUCAGUCCGAGGACC
Molecule: non-coding RNA, 94 nt
Filed under: Streptomyces avermitilis
Lineage: Bacteria; Bacillati; Actinomycetota; Actinomycetes; Kitasatosporales; Streptomycetaceae
Source: RNAcentral